This 449-nucleotide ribosomal RNA is filed under the name uncultured bacterium. Its description in RNAcentral is "bacterial SSU rRNA". It matches the Rfam family "Bacterial small subunit ribosomal RNA", at positions 354 to 796 of the family's 1533-position model. The record is from RNAcentral.
GUGGGGAAUCUUGCGCAAUGGGCGAAAGCCUGACGCAGCGACGCCGCGUGAGUGAUGAAGGCCUUCGGGUUGUAAAGCUCUGUGGAGAGGGACGAAUAAGGGUUGGCUAACAUCCAACCUGAUGACGGUACCUUUUUAGCAAGCACCGGCUAACUCUGUGCCAGCAGCCGCGGUAAGACAGAGGGUGCAAACGUUGUUCGGAAUUACUGGGCGUAAAGCGCGUGUAGGCUGCUCGGAAAGUCGGAUGUGAAAGCCCUGGGCUCAACCUAGGAAGUGCAUUCGAAACUUCCGAGCUGGAGUGCUGGAGAGGAAGGCGGAAUUCUCGGUGUAGAGGUGAAAUUCGUAGAUAUCGAGAGGAACAUCGGUGGCGAAGGCGGCCUUCUGGACAGCGACUGACGCUGAGACGCGAAAGCGUGGGGAGCAAACAGGAUUAGAAACCCCUGUAGUCC